CUUGGCACUAGCUGGCCAGCCAGUAAGACAAUCCUGAUUCAAGCUAAUUAUUAAUAUAUUGCAGUAUGUUUCAGAAAACUUGAAAGGUUGACUUAUCAACCCCUAGUACUCCAGUCUGGUUCAAUACACCUACACGGAAAGGUGACACCUAUCGGGUUCCAUCAGGUCAUGGACCAUGCCUCGUAUUCAGGCAAACUACGCUGAUGCAACGUUCAUUGGCCAGUAACAGCCGAGAAACUGAACUGUUCAGUCUCACACGUACCAAUACGGAAAGGCUGAUGCGGUGGGAGGCAAGAGUUGCUCGGGCAACAACAACAGCCAAGCAACGUUCUCAGCCCUCAUGUUCUCUAAGGGUAAAUAGAUGAGACUGGAAAGACUAGAAAUACGUUGUCGAAC
Pelobates cultripes (western spadefoot toad) is the source of this 396-nucleotide non-coding RNA. The record is from the annotation of a GenBank genome assembly. Lineage: Eukaryota; Metazoa; Chordata; Amphibia; Anura; Pelobatidae.